Molecule: ribosomal RNA, 253 nt
Filed under: uncultured bacterium
Lineage: Bacteria
Description: partial 16S ribosomal RNA
Rfam family: Bacterial small subunit ribosomal RNA
Source: RNAcentral
UACGUAGGUGGCAAGCGUUGUCCGGAUUUACUGGGCGUAAAGGGCGUGCAGGCGGUUUGUUAAGUCUAGGGUGAAAGCUCCCGGCUCAACUGGGAGAGGUCCUUGGAUACUGGCGAACUUGAGGGAUGCAGAGGAAAGUGGAAUUCCCGGUGUAGUGGUGAUAUGCGUAGAUAUCGGGAGGAACACCAGUGGCGAAGGCGGCUUUCUGGGCAUUUCCUGACGCUGAGACGCGAAAGCCAGGGGAGCAAACGGG